CCCCUAAUAUAGCGUGGUGGGAGAGCCGAAGGAAUACUUAUUGAAGUAGUCACAACGACGACAUCACUAGCUAGGCCGCAUAUUCCAUCGCCAGAUCCGAACCAAGCGAAGUGAAGGAAGACGGGUGUCCUUUUCGUACACUGAGUGUGGUGGGUGAGUCUUCGUGCUGUGAAAACCUAUAAUUUUGACGUGGUGUUGUAUAUUGCUGUGGGCUGCUGUGUAUUACGGGUGUCCUUUUUCGUACACUGAGUGUGGUGGGUG
Cyprinus carpio carpio is the source of this 261-nucleotide long non-coding RNA. Lineage: Eukaryota; Metazoa; Chordata; Actinopteri; Cypriniformes; Cyprinidae. The record is from Ensembl.